UACGGAGGGUGCGAGCGUUAAUCGGAAUUACUGGGCGUAAAGCGCAUGCAGGCGGUCUGUUAAGCGAGAUGUGAAAGCCCCGGGCUUAACCUGGGAACUGCAUUUCGAACUGGCAGACUAGAGUCUUGUAGAGGGAGGUAGAAUUUCAGGUGUAGCGGUGAAAUGCGUAGAGAUCUGAAGGAAUACCAGUGGCGAAGGCGGCCCCCUGGACAAAGACUGACGCUCAGGUGCGAAAGCGUGGGGAGCAAACAGG
This 253-nucleotide ribosomal RNA is filed under the name uncultured bacterium. RNAcentral describes it as "partial 16S ribosomal RNA". It matches the Rfam family "Bacterial small subunit ribosomal RNA", at positions 524 to 776 of the family's 1533-position model. The record is from RNAcentral.